Molecule: long non-coding RNA, 526 nt
Organism: Homo sapiens (human)
Lineage: Eukaryota; Metazoa; Chordata; Mammalia; Primates; Hominidae
Source: Ensembl
UGUGUGUCAACUAGGUGUGUUCUAAACAUCAUUUUUCCAGUUGGAGGAAUGCUGAGUUUGGAGAUGGCUGAUAAAUGUGUCAUCUGGAUAACAUUCUGAGAUUGAUAUAGGAAUGCCUUCUUUUGCUUCUUUAGCUGCCUUGACCAAUGUAGUGAUGCUGACAGAGGCUAUAAAAAAUGUGGCUCUCCAAUCUUGGGCACUUUAUGUAACCUUGCUCCUGGGAGGCCGAGCACAUAUUCAGCAGGAAGGAACUUGCUGGCUCAGUUACCAUGAUUCAUGCCAACAAAUCAAAGAAUGCUGCUAAUGAAUCACAAAAGGUGGAGAAUGCUAAACAGCAAUGCUUCUGUCACUCUGUUGUGGCUAUUAAUCAAGAUGAUGCAUUGCUAAGACAGCUGCCUGGGUAUGACAGGAAGCAAAUUGCUGUGUCUGCCUGUCAGAAGUUUAUUUGCUACUUUGAGUAUAUGGAACAUGAAUGUCAACUGAAUGUAUUUAAAGAAAGUGCAAAUUAAACAUGAAGAUCUUCAAA